UACGUAGGGGGCAAGCGUUGUCCGGAAUCAUUGGGCGUAAAGAGCGUGUAGGCGGCUCGAUAAGUCUGCUGUGAAAGUCCAGGGCUCAACCCUGGAAGGCCGGUGGAAACUGUCGGGCUAGAGUCCGGAAGAGGCGAGUGGAAUUCCCGGUGUAGCGGUGAAAUGCGCAGAUAUCGGGAGGAACACCAAUUGCGAAGGCAGCUCGCUGGGACGUCACUGACGCUGAGACGCGAAAGCGUGGGGAGCAAACAGG
This 253-nucleotide ribosomal RNA is filed under the name uncultured bacterium. Its description in RNAcentral is "partial 16S ribosomal RNA". It matches the Rfam family "Bacterial small subunit ribosomal RNA", at positions 524 to 776 of the family's 1533-position model. The record is from RNAcentral.